GCAUGCAUUUAUACAAUGCUAAUAUGCCCGUAUGCACAUACACAUAUGCAUCAACAAGAUUCCAUAUUUCGCUUUGACAUGCGGGGCGACCAAGUCGCUUCGGUAAACACAACCCAUCUCAUUUCGCAUUCCGAUUGCUUGUCGACACUUGCAGUCGGCCUCCCGCGGCACCCGGCACUCGGUUUGGCCCGAUCUCCUGCGCGACCACCCGAACGGCCUCCAAUCCACGAUCCGAAAAUUAAAGGUCUUCGGUUAUGUGCCACGAUGCUUCAAAUCCGUUUUCAUGGGUUUACGAUGUCGCCUCGGCCCUCCAGGCGGAAACGAAGCCUAAACGUCCGUUUCUUUAAUAACUUUGCAACGGCUCGACGAAUCGCCGAACCGUCUUCGCCAAUGCAUUCGUUUACCUAGCAAUUAGGUUUAUGGAGGGUCAAAUGAGAUCAAACCCUUAUAUUUACAAAACUAGUAUUUUGAACCCUAGGUUUACUACUAGGUAAAAACCCACCAUUAGAGCCUCGGUUUCAAGCAUCAAACCUCUAAUUAGCAUGCUAGAAUACCUCUAAAUCCACUCUUAGAGCUUAAAAACCAAACUAGAGAGAAAUGCCAUUAAAGGUUUGAAGCUUACCUUCAAAGCUUGCUCUAAUGGAGAGGAAGAAGAUAAAGAAGAUGAAGAUCAACUUCCAAGCUUGCUUCUCCACCAAAACCUUUAAUUUUGGAAGAGAUCUAGAGAGAGAAAAGGAGUUUUCUCUCUUUCCCUUUCCUUGCGUGUGUGUGUGUGUCGUGUGCGUGUGUGGUG
Molecule: long non-coding RNA, 793 nt
Filed under: Ananas comosus (pineapple)
Lineage: Eukaryota; Viridiplantae; Streptophyta; Magnoliopsida; Poales; Bromeliaceae
Description: long non-coding RNA (ACOM_LNC043464)
Source: RNAcentral